UACGUAGGGGGCAAGCGUUGUCCGGAUUUAUUGGGCGUAAAGAGCGUGUAGGCGGCCAGGUAGGUCCGUUGUGAAAACUCGAGGCUCAACCUCGAGACGUCGGCGGAAACCCUCUGGCUAGAGUCCGGAAGAGGAGAGUGGAAUUCCUGGUGUAGCGGUGAAAUGCGCAGAUAUCAGGAAGAACACCCGUGGCGAAGGCGGCUCUCUGGGACGGUACUGACGCUGAGACGCGAAGGCGUGGGGAGCAAACAGG
This 253-nucleotide ribosomal RNA is filed under the name uncultured bacterium. RNAcentral's name for it is "partial 16S ribosomal RNA". It matches the Rfam family "Bacterial small subunit ribosomal RNA", at positions 524 to 776 of the family's 1533-position model. The record is from RNAcentral.